AAACACUGUUUCCAUGACAACAACCCAAGCACUGCAAAAAGGAUGAGGGGAAAAAAACACACAGAGACACAUUUCUCUGUCUCGCUGUGUAUGUUUCUGUGUUUUCGGUCUCUUGCUGCUCGGUGAUGAACCUGCUGCUAAAACGUCUCUAAACAACCAACUGGUCUGAUUUCAGCUGCAGAAUAAUGUCACUGGGUUGUGAUUUAAAGUCCGUCCAAAGGUUGAUAUACAUCUGGUUUGGUUCCCCUGGAGCUGCAGAGACUCUUAUGAUGUGUUCAGAAAUGGGUUUCCAUGGAAGACACACAAUAAAAGGGACAAAUGUGAAAUAUCUGCCAACAUGGAAAGGGCUGUAAACCAGUGAAAGACGAGCAAAGAGUCACCGUCUCACGGUGGAAGUCUUGGACAGACGAGAAGCUCCUUCGUGCUGAGGAGGAUGUAAAAGGCCAGAGCUCCAGGAUGUUCAGUAAAUGUCACAGUCUGACCGCGACCCAAAGUUCACCUCCACCUGCUUCGAUGAGUACGAGGUGGCCACUGAAGAGGACUGUCCCUCUUCAUAUCACAGAGACCUUUCCUUCAGAUUACCCAGAAUUACCAGCAGGACAGUCCUCUGCGUCCAGACCAGAGUUCAGCCGCUGCCUCCUCUGCAGAGCUUUUAUCCAGAUAAAAGUCGGCACAUCUUAUUUGUCUCGGAGGCUCAACAGCAUCACAGAGAACAGAACUGACUUCCAAGAUAAACAACUCGGUCCUCUUUGUGUUUCCGAACAACUGAAGCUCUAAUUACAGAAUCCCAUCAUCAAUAUGAAAAGGACGGGGUUUUCUUUUCCAUUAAAAGGACCAGCGGCGGCAGCAGAUUGAUUUUUUCCUGAUGAGUGCUUCAUUUAGGACAAGAGGCGUCUGCAGAUGGAGGUCUAACGGCUCCAUGGCCGGGCUCGAACGCACAGCACUUGGAGGAAAUGGUGCAGAGGAAGGCCCUGAUAGAGUCCUGUACAGGCUGCAGCGUUCUGCAAACCCUACCCAGUCGCACUGCAGUUCGUGAAAUGGUCACGAAAUUGAAUGUACUGAUUCGUGUACGUAGACACAAAUGUCACAUUUUUUUCGUUAUGGUCAGCACAAAACCAAUUUGUAUGUAAUCCACUUAAUUGUGAACCGGGAAGUAUAAAGAGCA
Long non-coding RNA from Sebastes umbrosus (honeycomb rockfish), 1165 nucleotides. RefSeq lists it as uncharacterized. The record is from RefSeq and is a predicted model, not a curated record. NCBI's taxonomy places the organism in Eukaryota, Metazoa, Chordata, Actinopteri, Perciformes, Sebastidae. The transcript is spliced from 3 exons.